Molecule: non-coding RNA, 2618 nt
Organism: Solanum lycopersicum (tomato)
Lineage: Eukaryota; Viridiplantae; Streptophyta; Magnoliopsida; Solanales; Solanaceae
Source: RefSeq, a predicted model, not a curated record
AUUUAUCCAACUUCCACAGCUCAUUUUCUUCCAAUUUUACGACCAAAAUUUGGAACCUUUUCCUAAUUUUUUUCAGUAACCCAACCCAACUUAUACCUUCACCAGGCCCACUCCUCUUAAUUCCCAUUCCCAGUAAUUCCUCUCCUCUCAGCAACCAACCCGACCCAAUUCCCUUUUAUCCCCUUCAGUGAGCAACACGAAAUUGCAACGUGCAUCAGACAUGUGAACUCCUCCACUCAACCAACGCGCCCCCGUCUUCUUCAUGCGCGAGCCACUAAAAGCAGCAGCAAGCAAUGCAUAAUGAUCUCAACGGUAUCAUCGUCUCUGUCGCCAUUAAUUUGCGUGGCAAGGGCUUCCUGAUUUCUCUAGCCUCGCAGAAUCGUCCUUGGGUGUCGGAGAUGUCUCCACGUCUCCCAUAAGGACGAUUGGAUCGAUCACAAUCGUCCAUUUCCCCUUUCCAUUUUUGGAAAAGUUUCAGAGCUUCAGAAAAAGCUUGUCUUCCCAAAGUGGUGAAAGAAACAUUUAAAUUUCAAAUUCGGACUCAAGUUCUAUCCAAGAUUCUCACCCUUCCCCCCCCCCCCCCCCCUUUUUUUCUUUGUCAAAAUCCUAGCCCUUAGCUAUAUAUGAUCGCUUCGGUCCUUUUGGGGGAGGGAGAUAUUUCUUUAGCUGCCGUUAGAGAGAAUUUCUACAGUAAGAAUCACUAGUUAUACAAUUAUUACAAAUAAACACUUGUGGAAUAGGUCUUAAAAAUCACAGAGAGUAAGAGUUAAUACUCCCGCUUGUUUCUUCACCCACGAGAGUUCAUCGGAGUCGCGAAUUGGUGGUGGAGGGAUCGGCCUCAUAGCUAGCUCGUUCGUCCGUUCGAUUCGCUGCCCUCGUAAAAGGAUGAAUUUAACACACGAGCCUUUGAAAACAAGAAUGGUUACCGUCCCUGAUCCUUUGCUCAAAGUAUGGUAGAGGUUCAUGAACAACGACGACAAAAUGAUCGUCGAGAAACACAUAGGUUACCUCCCAUCUCUGCUAGAGAUGAAUGCUUGGUCUGGCCAAAUUGGAACAAUGGUGAAAUUCUUGGACAACGAGCAUAUGAUCUUUCGAUUUGGGGAAGUAGAGUUAACGCCAACAAUAGAAGAAGUCCUCACGAGUUACAAAAGCGUCUCCAUGUGCAACAAAAGGAAACGACACCCAGAAACAGAUCUCCUAAAUCCUAUAAUAUGGGAUUUUACCAAAAUUAGAGAAAAAUUAUCAUUGGUUAAAACCUAGUGGAUGGACAAGCUCCCCGACCCAAAUAUACCUUUCAGAAAACUAUAUUAUCGGUUUGAACGUGCAAGGGCUUAUGAGAAAUAUAAAUAUGAGUUCGUUUCAAAAGAAAAAUGGAAAGAGACGUGUCCCCUCACAUAUCCAAUAUGUUUACUCAGAACGAUAAUUUUCCCUUAAGGUCCAAAAUACACUAUUCAUCCUAGUGUAUUUAUGGCCACUCAUGCCAUCUUCUACGGAGUGGACUAUAAAUUUUCAACAAGUACUACACUUUAGCGCCUAUGAUUUAGGAUGACAUCUAUAGGGCUUUAGACAAAUGUCAUAGUGGAGAACACUUCUUUCAAGGGUGUAGUCUGAUAUUACAGUGGUGGAUGAUGUGACAUUUGACCAAGACUCAUAAUCCAAAAGAACCAGAUCCCCUGAAGCGGUCAGACGACUUACAUGGUCAUGAUUGGUGGUUGUACCACUAUCAUUGCAAUAAGACUGGAGGAGAAAGUUUUUUGUAUCCGAGGCUUCGAGGGCUGAGAGAAGAAGACAUACAGUAGUCAAUAGAGAGUUUGAUGGUAAAUAAGAAUAUGGUGGUUAGAAGAGAAAAAGUCCCUUACUUGGUAUUUGCUGGGUUAAAGGGGACUAGACUAUAUGCAUCCGGUCGAGUCCUAAGACAACUAGGAGGGAAACAAGAGUUUCCCCAGAUCGCAGAUGUGAGGAAAUUUGCAACUGACCACGAGAAUGGACGAGUUGCAUUUGCUGAAGACAUACGUAGGAUGUGCAAAUCUCGAAGAGUGUUGGGUUAACCUGUACCAAACAGGUUUCAUCAAAAAUGUUCUAGGGAGUACAAAGAAUGGUUGAAAAAGAGUCUCGCUGGAACUAUUGAGCCUGGCCCAAAUGACCCUCACAUUAUUGCAGAUGUUGGAGCCAAACAUCAAGUCCGACAUCAAGAGAAGUUUGAUAGGAAUGAAUUAGAUCAUCAAUGUCAUCACUCUGAAGAUGUCAAAGUCAUAGUUCAAUUGAAACAGGAGCUACGAAGAGACGGACAGUGCAUGACAAAGUUAGAUGAUAACAUGGAACAACAGAUUCAAUCGAUAGAGGGGUUCAAACAUCAAUAAGAAGCUCGAUUGGCGAGAGAUCAUAUCUGGGCGAAUACAUAUGCUAUGUGGGAAGAGGUCAACAUCGUCAAAAGGACCAGACUUGGCAAUGGAUCAGAGGAGGCUUGAAUUUUAUUUACUAUCCCCUGCGUGGGACUGCUUUAUUUGUACUUUGUUUGUAAUUUAUUUUCUGAAUUAUUUCUUGGUUUUAUGUUUAUCAGACAUUUUGGAUGCUAUUAAUGAAGUAUUUUGGAGAUAAUAAAUCGAGUUUAAAAAGCA